Molecule: non-coding RNA, 107 nt
Filed under: Methylobacterium sp.
Lineage: Bacteria; Pseudomonadati; Pseudomonadota; Alphaproteobacteria; Hyphomicrobiales; Methylobacteriaceae
Also listed under: 2 other names
Description: TPP sequence
Rfam family: TPP riboswitch aptamer (THI element)
About the family: Vitamin B(1) in its active form thiamin pyrophosphate (TPP) is an essential coenzyme that is synthesised by coupling of pyrimidine and thiazole moieties in bacteria. The previously detected thiamin-regulatory element, thi box was extended, resulting in a new, highly conserved RNA secondary structure, the THI element, which is widely distributed in eubacteria and also occurs in some archaea.
Source: RNAcentral
AAUCGUUCCGAGGGGGGCCCCGUUCAGGGGGCUGAGAUAGGGCCGCAGCCCUGACCCUUGAACCUGAUCCGGCUCAUACCGGCGGAGGGACGGGAACUACGCUUGGG